Molecule: non-coding RNA, 2285 nt
Organism: Zootermopsis nevadensis
Lineage: Eukaryota; Metazoa; Arthropoda; Insecta; Blattodea; Termopsidae
Source: RefSeq, a predicted model, not a curated record
UUAAAUGUACCAUUGUACUUUGUGAAUUUAUGGAAAAUGUGGAUGGAAUUGUUUGUUGGCAGGUUUUUGGCUAUGUUGGAAUAUGCAGAAGAAGUACUCAAGUGCACCGACGUCAUUGUGUGCUUCAAGAAAGAUUGCAAUGACAGAGCACUGAUAGUGCGAACAUUCAUGUACAUGGGGUUCACUACAUUGCCGCCAGGGCACCAGCUGAUACCUGGUAACACCGACACUGGCAUUAUGUACAUGCUGUGUUCCAUCGAGUAGCAAAGACUCAGUCUCAGCAGACAGAAGUACCCUUUCAGAUGUCGUGCCAAACAAUGGAUUUAUUCUUCUCUUGCCACUUCUAACGAAGAAAAUUGUUACAUAUGGCUGAGUGCAAAUACUGGCUUCAAAGGCUGUUUUUGAUCUCCAAACAUUGAAAUUGUUAGUUCUGAACUCAAAGAAAAUUCAUUCUACAAUAGACAUGCUUAAUUGUCUUAUAUUUCAUAAGAGCAUCAUUUCUUCUGGGAAUUGCGUUUUAAUAUUGUAACUAUUACAGUCACAAGUUUGUGGAAAAUGUUUGAUCGUUGCACAUCCUUUUAAUGUUUCAGCUUUGUUUUAAAUUCUGUUCGUUAGGUAGUAAAUUCAUUUUAAAAAUGUGUAUAUUUGUAUUGAUAAGCUAAUGGAAUAUUUAUACAUGUUUGUUCUUGUAAUAGAUGUUGACAUAAGUAGGAUUUGAGGUUUUUUACAGCGGCGAGUCUGAAGAUGGCUGUCUUCUGGUUUGUUGCGCCAUGUAGUCUGGUGGAACUUUGCCGUUGUUUCAGAGGCCCUUGCUACCUCACUCAUCAGGAUUGUGAGUAGCCUGAUGACGGAGGCAGCAAGGACCUCUGAAAUGUUGGUAAACUUAUACCAGACUACAUGGCGCAACAACCCAGAAGACUGCCAUCUUUAGAUGUUGACAAGCAGGAAACGUGCUGUUAAAAACUUUCUUAUAUCUGAUUCACAUGAGAUAUGUGUUUUAUGCUAGGAUUACAUCCUUUUCCCAUGUACUGUUUAAGUUUUCAUUCUUAUUUUUUAAAAUAUUGAUAUGUAAUAAACAUUAAAAUUGUUCUAAAUAAUGUACUUGUGAUUAUCAUGAAUACUUGUAACUGUACUGUGAGAAAUUAUACCCAUUUGUCUUUGUUAGUACUUAAAAAGAGCAUGCAUGUGCUGUACAGAUUAUCUAGAUGCCUAGGCCUGUAUAUUUAUUAAAAUAGACGCAGGUACUUUGAUGUAAAGAUUCAGUUCUGCAUGUUUUAAGUGUUCAAGGAUUGAAUUAUUUUAGUUAUUAUUUUGUAUGGGAUAUAUUAAUUUUUAAAUAUUAUUUAUAUAACCAUGGUAAUUAUUCUUAGGAUAAUUGAUGUUAAAUAUGUGUUGCCUUUGUGUUCUGUUUUUCUCGUGCUUCCAUCUCGGCAAGUGUUAAAAGUGGCAAGAUAAACUGUUUCCAUUAAGUAGAGUAACUCUGCAGGUAUUUGCAACUUCUAAGUCGUAAGGUGGUUUAAAUAUGUUUUCCCAUGUCUGAUUAAAAAGGUUUGCGAACAAUCUCUUUAAAAAGUUGACUUUUUGGCAGGGUAGGUCUUAUGUACUGUUUUAAUGUGGUGGAUAAAGUAAAAUUCUCUAUACUUAUUUUAUUGCUCUUUUCUGGAAAGGUGAGUGAACUGGAAAUCAGACUCAUUAAUUUUCGAGUAAAGCAGAAUUUUAUGUAUUUAGCAAAUUAUUUAGUCCUUACUUUUUUUUAAGACGUUUCGCUGGCCUUUGCCUGUAAGUGCUGAAUGAUUACACACUUUAAAUCUUAAAACUCAUUCAUUAAAAUGAAUGUUCAAAAAAUAUAUAAAACAUUUAAAAAUUAAAAAAAAAGUCAUUGUAUGCCCAAACUUAUUCAGUGGUAAUAAUUUAGUUAAUUUAGGUAUAAUUAUUCCAUUCCAUUUUUUUUUUAAAUGAGUGCUUCUAUUCCAGUCUUGUAUUAUAAAAGGAAAAUAUUAAUCAGAAUGGUUUGUUCGAUGAAAAAUGUUGGUUGGGGUAAUUUGUCUCUGAAGAGAAAGUCAGAUGUGCAUUACAGAAGCAGAUACUUUGUGUUAAUUUUUGUGAAAAAUGCAACAUAGCAGAGACUGAAAAGCAAUACAAAAAUUUGAGGAGACAGUAUGGUAGGAACAAUGUGAUUGCAAACAAAUGUAAUGGUAUGAGAGAGAGUUCAUAGUUCUUGUACACAUUGAUAACACACAUGUAAAGUGCAGUAAAUGAAAUAUAAAUUAUGGAAGGAAGGCUCA